AGGCUCCCUGCUUGAGUGGAACAGUAUUCAGGGGAAUGAAUGUAAGUCUUUCUCAUCAUUUUCAUUCUCACUGAUGAAAUCACUUUCAUAUCCACUGUCUGAGAAGAUUGCAUCUAGUGUGGAGAGAGUAUCUGGGAUGAACUCAGCAUUCCUCUUGUCAGGUCCGGCCAAACAAGAGAGAGGCACAACCCAAGGAGAGCCGGUAGCAAAGAGAGAAACAGGAAUCAAGUAAGCAAAGUCUGAGGUGCUUUCAUGGAUGAAACCAGCCUAAAAGUGCUGUGAGAGGCAGAAACAAAGAAAGCUGGAGACAACAUGAUCAGAAUGACAGAGGAUGAAAGAGAGAAAACAUGGUGGCUGAGGUGGAGCCAAAAUUGGCAUGGGUGGAUUGUCAAAAAUGGCUCCCCCCAGAGGGUAAUGGAGCAGGUGCUUGGGAGUGACGGACAACGGAAACAGUGCCGCGGCCGCCAAUAUUUGGUUGUUUGAUUGUGUGCGUGGAGGCAAGAGGCCAUGGGGCUGAUCAAGGGAUGGGCGGUUAGCGAAAGGCGAAAAGCAGCCGUAAAAAGCACCCAUAUCGGCCCCUGGCCAACCAUCGCAACAUU
RNAcentral lists this small RNA (599 nucleotides) under Histoplasma capsulatum var. duboisii H88. Its description in RNAcentral is "Histoplasma capsulatum H88 hypothetical RNA". Lineage: Eukaryota; Fungi; Ascomycota; Eurotiomycetes; Onygenales; Ajellomycetaceae. The record is from RNAcentral.